GCCGAGAUAGCUCAGUUGGUAGAGCGCAUCCAUGGUAAGGAUGAGGUCAUGGGUUCAAAUCCCAUUUUCGGCU
This 73-nucleotide transfer RNA is filed under the name Rhodospirillaceae bacterium. Its description in RNAcentral is "tRNA-Thr". It matches the Rfam family "tRNA". Rfam says of the family: Transfer RNA (tRNA) molecules are approximately 80 nucleotides in length. Their secondary structure includes four short double-helical elements and three loops (D, anti-codon, and T loops). RNAcentral also lists the same sequence under 2 other names. The record is from RNAcentral. Lineage: Bacteria; Pseudomonadati; Pseudomonadota; Alphaproteobacteria; Rhodospirillales; Rhodospirillaceae.